This 1002-nucleotide long non-coding RNA is filed under the name Capra hircus (goat). RNAcentral's name for it is "lncRNA (ENSCHIG00000006397.1)". Lineage: Eukaryota; Metazoa; Chordata; Mammalia; Artiodactyla; Bovidae. The record is from RNAcentral.
AUCUGGUUCCCAGCAGGGCACAGAGCUAAUGCAGCUGAAAAAGCAUACAGCUGUGACUCCAGGCAUCUUGUGAAUGACCAGGCCUGGCUUGGGCUUCCUGCCUAAGUUCAAAGCAUGGGUUUUCAUCUGGGAGUCAGGUUGCGGUAGGAGGUGGGAGGAAAUAAGUGAAUGGCUCGGAGUAUCUUUUCAAACCACGCAUUCCUCAGGCCCUACUCUGGAUCUAUUGAAUCAGAAUUUCUGGUACUGGGAUUGAGAAUGAGUGUGGGAGUCCAGUGUGUCUUUUGAAUUAGGAGGUAAUUGGAGAAUCGGGGAGUUUUAGGGAAGAGGUAAGGAAUGUUUGCUUGUGAGACUAAGGAGUGGAUAGAGAGGUACAGACCAGAGCUAUAGAGACUGAGGGUCAAGAGGAGGUGAGAGGGAGAAAGGCAGGAGCAAGGUGGAUUAAAGGGAACCAGAGGAGACACCCUCCAUUCCCUGGAAGAAAAAAGGCAUGAAAAGAUAUGGAUGUAAAUGAGCCUGAAACUGGAGGGAGUGCAGACAGCCUGAGGUCGGGACUGAGGAUUGCCAUUUUCUCUCUGGAGUGGACUGUAAGGCAUGGUUGGCUGCAGAGAGAGGAGAGGGAGGUUCCGAGAGGCAAAGUAAUUUCUUGGAGCUUCUACAAGGGCCACAUUCCAAUUGGCUUGAAGAGGAACAUGCACGUUGAAAGGCAACACUGAGAGCGUUGAGGUCAGGUCAACAGGGGAAGAAAGAUUUCACCAUCAUGGUCGCAGACUACAUUGUGAAAAUGGUUUCAGUGCCACCCUAAAAAAGAUGGAAUGACCCAACUAUUACAUAAAGUAAGAACCAUUUAUAUAUUCCCUUGAUGACAAAUUCAACAAAACCUUUUUAAGAAAUACUCCAGAAAUGAUUCCAUUGCUUUCUUUUCUUUGAAAUCCCAAAGCAGCUUAUACUGUCAUCAAAGAAAAAGAAAUAACAUGGCAAAUCCACUGGUCAAGCAAAUGUCCC